RNAcentral lists this ribosomal RNA (443 nucleotides) under uncultured bacterium. RNAcentral describes it as "partial 16S ribosomal RNA". It matches the Rfam family "Bacterial small subunit ribosomal RNA", at positions 338 to 795 of the family's 1533-position model. The record is from RNAcentral.
CCUACGGGUGGCAGCAGUGGGGAAUAUUGGGCAAUGGGCGCAAGCCUUACCCAGCAAUACCGCGUGAGUGAAGAAGGUCUUCGGAUUGUAAAGCUCUUUGAUCAGGGACGAACAGAUGACGGUACCUGAAGAACAAGCCCCGGCUAAAUACGUGCCAGCAGCCGCUGUAAAACGGAGGGGGCGGGCUUUGUCCGGAAUGACUGGGGGUGAAGGGUGCGUAGGCGGCAUAAUAAGUUAGAAGUGAAAUACCUGGAGCUUAACUGGGGUGCUGCUUCUAAGACUGGUGUGCUUGAGUGCGGGAGAGGUUAAUGGAAGUCCGAGUGUAGCGGUGGAAUGCGUAGAUAUUAGGAGGAACACCAGAGGCGAAGGCGAUUAACUGGACCGUAACUGACGCUGGGGCACGAAAGUGUGGGUAGCAAACAGGAUUAGAUACCCUUGUAGUC